UUGGAAGAUGCAUCUUAUCAGAUAAAAGCCACCAACAACAGUGACUCCUAGGAGAAACCAUCAUUCUUCCUCUGCUAAAGUGGGAACCCAAGGCCCAGUCCCAGCCUGGGGUUAGCCAUACGUGACACCAGGCAUAGCUUCACUAGCAAGCUCUUAAUCGCCACUGUGUUCCCUAGCAAAUCUCAGGGCCCGCUCAGUUCAUCAUACCCAGUCAGCAUUGGGAUGAAGGAGGACGGCACUGUCAUGAUGAGAACACUGUGAAGGAGGAUGGCACUGUCAUGAUGAGAACACUGUGUCCUUAGAAGAUGAAGCCUUCAACACUGAACCUUAAAACCAAGCCAUCCAGCUCCUGCCAGGUCCUUGUGGUUGCCUGUGGCUCCAUGGAACUGCCACAUCAAGUAAUGAACCUCAAGGUGAACCAAACCAGGAUACCACACACAUCACACCAGCCCUCCUUUGGGAAAUGCAGACCUGUCCCAGGAGUUUCAGGCAUCCUGUGUUCAUCCUGCAUCGCCUCGUUGAAGAAGUAAAACUACCUGCUGCUGAGAACUCUGAAAAGGAGCUGCAAACGUCGAGGUUCAGAGGAACCAGGAAUCCUGGCCUGCCAUCCGUACAGCCUGCUGACCUCCAGGUGGAUGUGUGAAGCAAGGAGCUGUGCCCUGGAAGCCCCAGAUGAGUGUGUGGGUCAUGUGCUGCAAGCUCCCAGGUAACCCUGCACAGCUCACAAGCACAGGCUGUGAGCCCUGUGGCACUGAGUGUCCAUUCUUGCCAGUACAGGUAACAAACUGGUCUCUUUCAGUGCUGAAAUACCGCUUCAGAUGCUUAACGUGUUCUGAACUGUUUGUUUUUCAAGGUUGCAGGGGUCCGUUUCCGUGCUGUCUGCCGAUGGUGCUGCCUGAAGGAAAACCAUGGAAACGGAGUUUGACAGGCUCACAGGGACCCACGGCUGCCAGAGCCGCUGCCUUUGAGCGCCUGAUGAAGACAUCACAGAGCAAACACAACAUUAAAACGCUGCUGGCUGCUUUGCAUCACUUAGAAUGCAAAUCUCUUUGUUCUGCUCGGCCCUUGCGUUUUGUAGCCGAGGAAUCUGUGCUAUCAUCUAACAUGGAUUUGCUGACCUUUCUUCCCUCGCUGUCCGUUCUCCUAAAAAAAAAAAAAAUAUUUAAAAAAUAUUGUAAAAGAUCAGCUUUUGUGGGAAGGAGGGUGGCGUGGGUCUGUGCAUUUGAAAUGGCCCCAGUUUUUUUCAGUUCCUGGGAUUUCUGUGCACAAAUUAAACACCCAUAUUGCAGAGCAGGCUGGGUUGGGUUGCUUUGUUGCUCCCUGUGUAUUAUUUGACUUGGAUUCAUUUACAUGGCAACUCACAGGGGUAGAUUUUAUGUCAUCUUUAUGCCACAGAUUAAAAGGUAAAAGUAAUCCUUUAUUUGCACAGCACAUCCCCUCCAACCCUUUAAGCCGUACAGAUGAAAAUAGAGGAGAAAAAUGCAAACUCUCCCACCACCAUAAUGCCUACUUUAUAACUUUUUAUGCUAAAUUUAAGUGUGUGGUUAUUAUUCCGCCCUCCAUUUGUAGGUGGCCUGUACUUUUAACUGCAGUUUCUGAUUGCAGUCACUGUCAGACCUUUGAAAUGCCCCACACCUUUGUGCUCAGAUGUGGGAUUUGGGUGGCUCCUGACAGGCUGAGCUAUGCAUGGGGCCAUCAGGAAGGCUUUUUUGCUGAUUGGAGGAACCAUUGUGAGCAUCUGCAGUAGGAAAUAGCUGCUGGGGAGAGGCAAACAAACUGGCUAUUCUCUCAGAAGUGAUAAUUUAUCAUUUCAUUCUCCCUAUGCUGCAUAACUCACACAUUACUUACGCUGAGAGAGGGCUAUCAUCACUAAACUGGAAAC
This is a long non-coding RNA of Gallus gallus (chicken), 1882 nucleotides long. The record is from Ensembl. NCBI's taxonomy places the organism in Eukaryota, Metazoa, Chordata, Aves, Galliformes, Phasianidae.